GGCAGUGAGAGCGGCGGUUCCUUCGACUACGGAUCGAGAGGUCGCGGGUUCGAGUCCCGCCACCUGGUUCCA
Molecule: transfer RNA, 72 nt
Filed under: Deinococcus hopiensis KR-140
Lineage: Bacteria; Thermotogati; Deinococcota; Deinococci; Deinococcales; Deinococcaceae
Description: tRNA_Arg_ACG
Source: RNAcentral